RNAcentral lists this ribosomal RNA (172 nucleotides) under uncultured Pseudomonas sp. RNAcentral describes it as "partial 16S ribosomal RNA". It matches the Rfam family "Bacterial small subunit ribosomal RNA", at positions 361 to 525 of the family's 1533-position model. The record is from RNAcentral. Lineage: Bacteria; Pseudomonadati; Pseudomonadota; Gammaproteobacteria; Pseudomonadales; Pseudomonadaceae.
AUAUUGGACAAUGGGCGAAAGCCUGAUCCAGCCAUGCCGCGUGUGUGAAGAAGGUCUUCGGAUUGUAAAGCACUUUAAGUUGGGAGGAAGGGGGGUAAGUUAAUACCUUGCUGUUUUGACGUUACCGACAGAAAAAGCACCGGCUAACUCUGUGCCAGCAGCCGCGGUAAUA